UCAACGGUUACUCGUAUUGUUAUCGACGGACAAAAAGAAAUAUGGCUUGGAGGCAUCCGUUUGCUUUCGGUUCCAUCACAGCAGGAAUUUUUGUCGAUGAGUAAUAAGCGGAAUACAGAUUGUGGCUUCCGACAAUUAUUAAAUAAAUAAACUAAUAGGAGAUAUUCCUGGGUACAGAACAACGAAUAUACCCUUUCAAAUACAGGGUAGAACUAUCAUCAAUUCAAUUAAAUGAUUCGCAAAUCAAAACUGAAAAGUAAUUUCUAUGAAAGUCUGUUCUACUUAAUGACUGCUUGUUUAGCUGAUCAUAGGAACCAGUUGUGUAAUGUCUAUAUCAUGAUGGAUCGUGUCUACAUCAUGUUAGUCACUAUGACAAGAGUGGUGCCAAAGAAUGAAACUGGGAAUUGAUUGAAUUUGUAGUUCUGUUAAUGAAUUAUUGACAGAUAUGUUGUCUUUAUUUGUUGCCAAAGGGUCUUAGUGCUCAUUUCCACUUCGGAUGCCAAAGUAAAAUGAUAUCAUCCAAAAUUCAGCUCCAGCAAAGUGGCUUGAUUUUGAUAGUUCUGAUUGGUCUUGUGGUAUUCUUUGGAUUGGCCAAACUAGUGUCCGUUCCGCUGCGCAUCGAUAGCUUCGAUAGCUUCAGUUACAAGAACCUCCGAGAGCAGAAGGAAGAGGGCUAGCAAGCGGGUCAAGGAUUGGAUUUUAGUGAAAUGUAUUUAUUUACUGCCAAAGAUUAAGAUAU
This is an RNA transcript of Drosophila obscura, 739 nucleotides long. RefSeq lists it as uncharacterized. The transcript is spliced from 3 exons. The record is from RefSeq and is a predicted model, not a curated record. NCBI's taxonomy places the organism in Eukaryota, Metazoa, Arthropoda, Insecta, Diptera, Drosophilidae.